This 253-nucleotide ribosomal RNA is filed under the name uncultured bacterium. Its description in RNAcentral is "partial 16S ribosomal RNA". It matches the Rfam family "Bacterial small subunit ribosomal RNA", at positions 524 to 776 of the family's 1533-position model. The record is from RNAcentral.
UACGAAGGGGGCUAGCGUUGUUCGGAAUUACUGGGCGUAAAGCGCGCGCAGGCGGCUAUCCAAGUCAGUGGUGAAAGCCCGGAGCUCAACUCCGGAACUGCCAUUGAAACUGUUUAGCUUGAGGAUGAGAGAGGUGAUUGGAAUUCCCAGUGUAGAGGUGAAAUUCGUAGAUAUUGGGAAGAACACCGGUGGCGAAGGCGGCUCACUGGCCCAUUACUGACGCUCAGGCGCGAUAGCGUGGGGAUCAAACAGG